Molecule: ribosomal RNA, 495 nt
Filed under: uncultured bacterium
Lineage: Bacteria
Description: bacterial SSU rRNA
Rfam family: Bacterial small subunit ribosomal RNA
Source: RNAcentral
GAUCCUGGCUCAGAUUGAACGCUGGCGGCAUGCUUUACACAUGCAAGUCGAGCGGCAGCGCGGGGGCAACCCUGGCGGCGAGCGGCGAACGGGUGAGGAAACCAUCGGAACGUGCCCGAGAGUGGGGGAUAACGCCGCGAAAGCGGCGCUAAUACCGCAUAUUCUCUGAGGAGGAAAGUGGGGGACCGCAAGGCCUCACGCUCCCGGAGCGGCCGAUGUCGGAUUAGCUAGUUGGUGGGGUAAAGGCUUACCAAGGCGACGAUCCGUAGCUGGUCUGAGAGGAUGAUCAGCCACACUGGAACUGAGACACGGUCCAGGACUCCUACGGGAGGCAGCAGUGGGGAAUAUUGGACAAUGGGCGCAAGCCUGAUCCAGGCCACGCCGCGUGAGUGAUGAAGGCCUUCGGGUCGUAAAGCUCUGUGGGGAGAGACGAACCGCUGGGGUAACCCUUCAGCAUGACGGUAUCUCCUUAGCAAGCACCGGCUAACUUCGGUG